This 368-nucleotide unclassified non-coding RNA is filed under the name Hevea brasiliensis (rubber tree). Lineage: Eukaryota; Viridiplantae; Streptophyta; Magnoliopsida; Malpighiales; Euphorbiaceae. The record is from RNAcentral.
GGAGUCUGGGACUAAGGGGAAUUUUUAUGUUUAUGUCAAUUUCACCACUGAAAUACAUGGAAUUGUUGUUUAAAUAUAACAGGUUCUUUUUUUUUUGGUCAAAAGUUAACUUUUUUAUUUUAUUUGACACACUGGGAUUUAUUUGUUUGGUUCUUUUCUAGUUGUAUAUAAUUAUAAAGGCAAGGUAAAAUUCAGAUGAAAGGAAUCAUCAGCUACUUCUACAAGACAUAUGCAGGGCUUUAUCUGGUAAGUAAAUCAACUACCCGCUUUGUUCUAUCUUCCCUUUUAUCUUUCAAGUUUGUCUCUGUACUAUAUGCAGGGCUGGAAGGAAGUUUAUAAAACUCUUGGAACAGACAUUUGGAAUCAAU